UAAUACAGAGGGUGCGAGCGUUGUCCGGAAUCACUGGGCGUAAAGGGCGCGUAGGUGGUAACCUAAGCGUGCGGUGAAAGCCCGAGGCUCAACCUCGGGUCGGCCGUGCGAACUGGGUCACUCGAGCAGAAUAGAGGCAGGUGGAAUUCCGGGUGUAGCGGUGGAAUGCGUAGAGAUCCGGAAGAACACCGGUGGCGAAGGCGGCCUGCUGGGUUCUGGCUGACACUGAGGCGCGACAGCGUGGGGAGCAAACAGGAUUAGAUACCCUGGUAGUCCACGCCGUAAACGAUGGGCACUAGGUGCUUGGGGGAGCGACCCCCUGGGUGCCGGCGCUAACGCAUGAAGUGCCCCGCCUGGGGAGUACGGCCGCAAGGCUG
RNAcentral lists this ribosomal RNA (377 nucleotides) under uncultured bacterium. RNAcentral's name for it is "bacterial SSU rRNA". It matches the Rfam family "Bacterial small subunit ribosomal RNA", at positions 521 to 896 of the family's 1533-position model. The record is from RNAcentral.